RNAcentral lists this ribosomal RNA (649 nucleotides) under uncultured bacterium. Its description in RNAcentral is "bacterial SSU rRNA". It matches the Rfam family "Bacterial small subunit ribosomal RNA", at positions 848 to 1501 of the family's 1533-position model. The record is from RNAcentral.
GAAGCUAACGCGUGAAGUUGACCGCCUGGGGAGUACGGUCGCAAGAUUAAAACUCAAAGGAAUUGACGGGGACCCGCACAAGCGGUGGAUGAUGUGGAUUAAUUCGAUGCAACGCGAAAAACCUUACCUACCCUUGACAUGUCCGGAAUCCUGCAGAGAUGCGGGAGUGCCCGAAAGGGAAUCGGAACACAGGUGCUGCAUGGCUGUCGUCAGCUCGUGUCGUGAGAUGUUGGGUUAAGUCCCGCAACGAGCGCAACCCUUAUCAUUAGUUGCUACGCAAGGGCACUCUAAUGAGACUGCCGGUGACAAACCGGAGGAAGGUGGGGAUGACGUCAAGUCCUCAUGGCCCUUAUGGGUAGGGCUUCACACGUCAUACAAUGGUCGGUACAGAGGGUUGCCAAGCCGCGAGGUGGAGCCAAUCCCAGAAAGCCGAUCGUAGUCCGGAUUGUUCUCUGCAACUCGAGAGCAUGAAGUCGGAAUCGCUAGUAAUCGCGGAUCAGCAUGUCGCGGUGAAUACGUUCCCGGGUCUUGUACACACCGCCCGUCACACCAUGGGAGUGGAAUCUGCCAGAAGUAGGUAGCCUAACCGCAAGGAGGGCGCUUACCACGGUNGNUUUCAUGACUGGGGUGAAGUCGUAACAAGGUAACA